This 454-nucleotide ribosomal RNA is filed under the name eukaryote marine clone ANT37-11. RNAcentral's name for it is "bacterial SSU rRNA". It matches the Rfam family "Eukaryotic small subunit ribosomal RNA", at positions 451 to 907 of the family's 1831-position model. The record is from RNAcentral.
GGUGCUGCUGGACGGGCGCAUGCGCAUCAAGAAGAAUUUCAGCCUAUACAGGUCUGCCUUUUGGAAUGAGAGCAAGUUAAAUCGAUCAUCGAUGAUCAAUUGGAGGGCAAGUCUGGUGCCAGCAGCCGCGGUAAUUCCAGCUCCAAUAGCGUAUAUUAAAGUUGUUGCAGUUAAAAAGCUCGUACUUGGAUUUCUGGCUGGGCAUGUGCGUCCGCUCUUUGAGUUUGCACCAUACAUGUCUGGCCAUCCUUUGGGAGAGCCACAGUGNCAUUAAGUUGUUGGUGUGGGGAUCUCAAUCCUUUACUGUGAAGAAAUUAGAGUGUUCAAAGCAGGCUUACGACGUUGAAUAUAUUAGCAUGGAAUAAUGACAUAGGACUUUUGUACUAUUUUGUUGGUUUGCGAGCAAAAGUAAUAAUUAACAGGAACAGUUGGGGUUAUUUGUAUCCAUUUCAGA